Molecule: ribosomal RNA, 504 nt
Filed under: uncultured bacterium
Lineage: Bacteria
Description: bacterial SSU rRNA
Rfam family: Bacterial small subunit ribosomal RNA
Source: RNAcentral
GAACGCUGGCGGCGUGCUUAACACAUUCAAGUCGAACGGGACUCAUUUGAUUAAUCCUUCGGGAAACUGGAAUCUUUAACUUAGUGGCGGACGGGUGAGUAACGCGUGAGCAAUCUGCCUUUCAGAGGGGGAUAACAGUCGGAAACGACUGCUAAUACCGCAUAACGCAUUGAAUUCGCAUGUUUUUAAUGCCAAAGAUUUUAUCGCUGAAAGAUGAGCUCGCGUCUGAUUAGCUAGUUGGUGAGGUAACGGCCCACCAAGGCGACGAUCAGUAGCCGGUCUGAGAGGAUGAACGGCCACAUUGGGACUGAGACACGGCCCAGACUCCUACGGGAGGCAGCAGUGGGGAAUCUUCCGCAAUGGACGAAAGUCUGACGGAGCAACGCCGCGUGAACGAUGACGGCCUUCGGGUUGUAAAGUUCUGUUAUACGGGACGAAUGGCGUAGCGGUCAAUACCCGUUACGAGUGACGGUACCGUAAGAGAAAGCCACGGCUAACUACGUG